UACGUAGGGGGCAAGCGUUGUCCGGAUUUACUGGGCGUAAAGCGCGUGUAGGCGGGUCGUUAAGUUGGGGGUGAAAUCCCGAGGCUCAACCUCGGAACUGCCUUCAAAACUGGCGACCUGGACUCAAGUAGAGGCAAGUGGAAUUGCGAGUGUAGAGGUGAAAUUCGUAGAUAUUCGCAGGAACACCAGUGGCGAAGGCGACUUGCUGGACUUGUAGUGACGCUGAGACGCGAAAGCGUGGGGAGCAAACAGG
This 253-nucleotide ribosomal RNA is filed under the name uncultured bacterium. RNAcentral's name for it is "partial 16S ribosomal RNA". It matches the Rfam family "Bacterial small subunit ribosomal RNA", at positions 524 to 776 of the family's 1533-position model. The record is from RNAcentral.